Molecule: long non-coding RNA, 953 nt
Filed under: Salvia miltiorrhiza (redroot sage)
Lineage: Eukaryota; Viridiplantae; Streptophyta; Magnoliopsida; Lamiales; Lamiaceae
Description: long non-coding RNA (SMIL_LNC007003)
Source: RNAcentral
AAUCGAGCAAGGAUAUUGUUGGUGUCCUUAACUCAAGAAUUUUAGUUUUCAAAGAUUUAUUUAUUAAAUUUUGAAAACCCGGCUAAGUGAAUCAUAGAAUGUUAAACACUUUUCUACGACUUAAGAUUAGAUUCAGGAGACCUAUUAAGAUUAUAGAUUUCUUGUAGGCUUUGUGGAUCGUGAGGACUAGCGCAGCUAUUCCGAUUCAGAGAUUAGAUAAACGACAGGCAUUGCCUAUUCAGGUGGGCUUAUUUUCCAAAUGUAUGUUUGAGUUAUUAAACUCUAAAUGUUUCAUGAAAUGCAAACUGUUUAUCCAAUAAAUAUUUUUGUGCGCUCUGUUAUGUUUAAGGCUUGCAAUUCAUGGAUCGAUCGAGGUUCUCUUAUGACCUAACACGUUGUUUGAGAAUUGUGUACACUUGUUAGUUGUUUCGGUGGGUUGAUCUCCAUCGGGCACUAAUUCAUGUAAGAGGCGUUAUAAGGGUGCUUGGCUGGAUGUGUUCCGGAGCAUGUAUCAUGUAAGGCCUGCCUGGGUAGCGUCCCGAGGUCAAUUCAACUUGUCUGAGUUACGCCCUCAGGGCAAGUGUCAUGGGAGAAAGCGAUACGUCGGUGGCUAAAAGGUCCGGUAUCACAGCGAGUAACUAAACAGAGUGUGACAAUGGCGCGCUAAUAAAAUGAAAUACUUUAACAUGCUUAGAAGUUAUUUUUGUUUUAAAACCUUCUAAGUUAUGUCAGGAAUGAUUGGAUAAACUGCUCUUACGAAUUGUGAAAUGUUUUAAAAGUUGCAGCCCACUAAGUACAUUAGUACUUAGCCCAAAUAUUUUCAAAUGUUUUUCAGGUUGAUGGCUGGUGCUGACGGGGAGAGCUGAGGCUAGGGUUCAACUCCGUGUUUUGACUUCCGCUGUAGUACUAGCCUUUAUUUGUCUUUCGUUUCCUUGACUUAAGACUUUUAUGUU